RNAcentral lists this small RNA (29 nucleotides) under Bombyx mori (domestic silkworm). Its description in RNAcentral is "ovarian small RNA-35673". Lineage: Eukaryota; Metazoa; Arthropoda; Insecta; Lepidoptera; Bombycidae. The record is from RNAcentral.
UGUCCCUACAACGACCAACGACGUCGGUC